Non-coding RNA from Macaca mulatta (Rhesus monkey), 923 nucleotides. The record is from RefSeq and is a predicted model, not a curated record. Lineage: Eukaryota; Metazoa; Chordata; Mammalia; Primates; Cercopithecidae.
UGAUACCCAAAAUGAGACUGACAAAGAACAGGACAAACAACAAAUGUACUUAGAGACAAUCAUUUCAGAGAGAAAUUCAAGUACCUAUAACUGCCUUUUUCCUCUCUGUCUCAGCUUCUUUUUCCACAACCUUUUGUUUCUGUGCAGCUAUAAGGAGUUUUGUCUUCUCAGCCUCCCUGUGAAGCAAAAUGUUAUAAAAAUUAGAAAUGAUUCUCUUAUGUGCAGUCACAGCCAGUAAUUCUGACCCUAUAGUGAGUCGGAGAACCGUUUUUUCAACACGAGCUUUUGGACUCAUUAAGCCAGCCCUGGAUACAUAAAAGAGAAGACCACCAGGAGUCAACAGAAGCAAGGCUUCCCCAGAGGCACAUUAUAAAGAACCAGGUCUAAUUUUAGAUAUACAAUCACAUACAAUGGAAAACCAAACUUUAUACCAACAAGAUAUCUACUCCUACCAUUACAACACAGAAACAAAAUAUGAGCACUCUCUUCAACCCUAACACAGGUUCAGGACUCUUUCCUCUAUUAAAUAUUUAAUUCAAGGUACUAUUCAUAUAAAAUUAUAGCUCCUUAAGCUUCCAACAAUAGUUUUACAGCAAACUGCAUCUUUAGACACUGACACUUCUCCUGAAAUAUCCACACAUACAGAAGAACACUAAUAAGAGUCUAGUGGGAAUUAAGACACAAGAGUAGCAAUAUUACUAGAGUAAGAGUAAAGAAGAUACACACAUACUCCACCCCAGAGUGUAUUAUCUCACAUGUUUCCUCUAGACUGGAGUGUUAAUAUGCAGACAGCCCUGAACAGAAAUAUUGGGAUCCCAUGCAUAUUACUCACAUUAACUCAAAAUUUCUUCUUAUGGCUUCUGGGAUUUUGGGUUUUGUAACACGCACAGCCUAAAAAAUAAAAGUGAAAAAGCCAAAGUAUA